RNAcentral lists this unclassified non-coding RNA (272 nucleotides) under Hevea brasiliensis (rubber tree). The record is from RNAcentral. Lineage: Eukaryota; Viridiplantae; Streptophyta; Magnoliopsida; Malpighiales; Euphorbiaceae.
AGGCCGGCCGGGAUGUCGCGCCGCGAGGUGAGGCUGAUGUCCUGAAGAAUCUGCGCGGUGCGCUCGCGCACUUCCGGCAGGUUGUCGACGCUUUUCCAGAACNUUUAUGUCCCGUCGCCCACAGCACGGCGCAGCGCAGGUUUUCCCACACCGUCAUGUUGGCGAAGACGUUGGUGACCUGGAAGCUGCGCGACAGGCCGCGGCGGUUGAUCUGGUAGGGCGGCAGACCCGAGAUGGUUUCGCCGCGCAUCAGGACAUCGCCGCUGGUCGGC